Lycium ferocissimum is the source of this 484-nucleotide long non-coding RNA. RefSeq lists it as uncharacterized. The transcript has 3 exons. The record is from RefSeq and is a predicted model, not a curated record. NCBI's taxonomy places the organism in Eukaryota, Viridiplantae, Streptophyta, Magnoliopsida, Solanales, Solanaceae.
UUUUAGAGAGUAUUUUCAGAUAUAAUUCUGAGUUUUUGUUGUGGAUCAGUAUUUAAAAUCUCCUUAUGAUUUGUGAUUCAGUUUAGCUCAUAAUUAUUGUGUGUGUUUUUUCUUUCAUUUCCUCCAUAGCUCUUCAUCUCUGGAGAAGCCGGAAUUAAGCAAUACAUAACUUUGCGGGAGGAAAGUACUUGACUAUGUUGAAGUUUCAACUUUGGGCAAGUGUCAAGCUGGAGUAGAGAUAUCAACACGGACGGAGAGUAAGGCUAGCAACGAAUGCCAGCUCUUUGGAGCUUGUCUUAAGUGCUGUAUUGGAGAUUGAUGCAUUUAGUAAUUGUAUUUUGCAGUCAUCUUUGAAGACCAAAACAAUUCAAUGACUCCCCAUGAUUUUAAUGAAUUAUUUGGUUACGUAGAAUCAAUAUAUUUAAUGAGUCAUUAUGUUAGGCUCGCACGCAGCACGGACAACACCUAUCUAGUAAAUCAAGAA